UACAGAGGUCUCAACCGUUGUUCGGAUUCAUUGGGCGUAAAGGGUGCGUAGGCGGUCGCGUAAGUCGGAUGUGAAAUCUCAGGGCUCAACCCUGAAACUGCAUUCGAUACUGCGUGGCUAGGGUACUGGAGAGGAGACUGGAAUUUACGGUGUAGCAGUGAAAUGCGUAGAUAUCGUAAGGAAGACCAGUGGCGAAGGCGAGUCUCUGGACAGUUACCGACGCUGAGGCACGAAGGUCAGGGGAGCAAACGGGAUUAGAAACCCCCGUGUAUC
RNAcentral lists this ribosomal RNA (273 nucleotides) under uncultured bacterium. RNAcentral describes it as "partial 16S ribosomal RNA". It matches the Rfam family "Bacterial small subunit ribosomal RNA", at positions 524 to 795 of the family's 1533-position model. The record is from RNAcentral.